AUUUUUGUCUCAAUUUCCGCAGAUUUUCGUAAUUUUUUCCGGAAUUUUCUCUCUUUUCCCCCCCAGGUCGCCGAAUCCCAGGGCCUCCCCCCGGAAUCUCUCGGCCCCGCCCCCUUUUCCCACCUUCCGGAACGUUCCGACCCCGAAUCCCAAAUCCGGCACUUCCGGGGCCGCCUCGGGGGGGUCCUCAAGGAGCUCCAGGGGGCGGAGCCUGACCCCAAAGGGGGCGGGGCCUCCCUCGGGCCGUUCUCAUUGGCCGAAGCCGCGUGGGCGUGGCUGGAGGGGGAGGGGCAGCCGGACCGCGCCCGCCGCGUUCUGAUUGGCCGGAGGAAGCAGCAGCUGCAGCUCCUGGCGUGCCUCAGUUUCCCCGAGCCCGCGGCGGCGGCGGCGCUGCGGCGCAAUGGCGGCGGCCAAUGGGAGGCGCUGCAGGAGCUGCAAUGGCGGAAGCUCCGCCCCUUCCGCUUACGUCAUCGGCAGGGGGCGGAGCCUGCGCUGGACUUCCUGCGGGAGGAUCAGCAGGUGACUGGUUUAUACUGGUUUGUACUGGUUUAUACUGGGAGGGACUGGGAGAGAGUUUUGGGGUUACUGGUUUAUACUGGUUUAUACUGGGAGGGACUGGGAGGGACUGGGAUGAACUGGGAAUUGGUUUGGGGUUACUGGUUUAUACUGGGAGGGAUUGGAAGGAAGUUUUGGGGUUACUGGUUUGUACUGGUUUGUACUGGGAGGGUCUGGGAGAGAGUUUUGGGGUUACUGGUUUGUACUGGGAAUGGGUUUGGGGUUACUGGUUUAUACUGGGAGGGGUUUUGGGGUUACUGGGAUGAACUGGGAGGGACUGGGAUGAACUGGGACGUGGUUUGGGGUUACUGGUUUAUACUGGGAGGAAACUGGGAGAGAGUCUAAGUGUUACUGGUUUGUACUGGAGGGGGUUUGGGGUUACUGGUUCAUACUGGGAGGGGACGGG
This 961-nucleotide long non-coding RNA is filed under the name Taeniopygia guttata (zebra finch). Its description in RNAcentral is "lncRNA (ENSTGUG00000022431.1)". Lineage: Eukaryota; Metazoa; Chordata; Aves; Passeriformes; Estrildidae. The record is from RNAcentral.